GUCUCCAUAGCUAAGUGGUUAUAGCAUGCGAUUGCAGCGCGAGCCAACCAGCCGCGUAAUAUCGCAGGGUCCCGUGUUCAAAUCACGGUGGGGACU
Molecule: non-coding RNA, 96 nt
Organism: Pluteus cervinus
Lineage: Eukaryota; Fungi; Basidiomycota; Agaricomycetes; Agaricales; Pluteaceae
Source: the annotation of a GenBank genome assembly